CCCUUAGAUGUUCUGGGCCGCACGCGCGCUACACUGAUGCAUUCAACGAGUCUAAAACCUGCUCUGAUAGGGGUGGGUAAUCUUUUGAAUGUGCAUCGUGAUUGGGAUAGAUGAUUGCAAUUUUUCAUCUUCAACGAGGAAUGCCGAGUAAACGCAAGUCAUCAGCUUGCAUUGAUUACGUCCCUGCCCUUUGUACACACCGCCCGUCGCUCCUACCGAUUGAAUGAUCCGAUGAAUAUCAUGGAUUGAGGAUUAUAGCAGGUUCGCCUGUCUUGAUCUUCGAGAAGUGAAGUAAAUCUUAUCAUUUAGAGGAAGGAGAAGUCGUAACA
This 329-nucleotide ribosomal RNA is filed under the name uncultured eukaryote. RNAcentral describes it as "partial 18S ribosomal RNA". It matches the Rfam family "Eukaryotic small subunit ribosomal RNA", at positions 1470 to 1796 of the family's 1831-position model. The record is from RNAcentral.